UACAGAGGCCCCGAGCGUUAUCCGGAAUUAUUGGGCGUAAAGGGUGCGUAGGUUGCGCUGUUAGUCGUUUGUGAAAGCCCCGGGCUUAACCUGGGAGACGCAGAUGAAACGGCAGUGCUUGAGAGUGAGAGGGGUGUGCGGAACUCAUAGUGUAGGGGUGAAAUCCGUUGAUAUUAUGGGGAACACCAAAAGCGAAGGCAGCACACUGGCUCAUUUCUGACGCUGAAGCACGAAAGCGUGGGUAGCGAAUGGG
Molecule: unclassified non-coding RNA, 253 nt
Filed under: uncultured Parcubacteria group bacterium
Lineage: Bacteria
Description: contains 16S-23S intergenic spacer region
Rfam family: Bacterial small subunit ribosomal RNA
Source: RNAcentral